UUACGGCCACAUCAAGUUGAAAACCUGGUUUCCAUAUGACAACCAAAGUUAAGCAAUGUUGAGCUUGGUCAGUACCUAGAUAGGUGACCGCUUGAGAAUACCAGGUGCUGUAAG
Molecule: non-coding RNA, 114 nt
Organism: Acanthosepion pharaonis
Lineage: Eukaryota; Metazoa; Mollusca; Cephalopoda; Sepiida; Sepiidae
Source: the annotation of a GenBank genome assembly